GGCGAGGAACCUGCGCGGGAUGCUGCGGGGCUUGGAGAGCGCAGGCCUCGCGCUCGGCGCCCCUCCAGCCUGGACUUGGGGAGCAAAGAGAAGCCCCUCGCGCGCGCUGCUCCACCUCCCGGCUGUUCCCGGCAGCCCCCAGGCUCCGCGGGACUCACCGCCUUCAGCUGCUCCAGCCGGUCCUUCAUCCUGGAGCCCAGGUGCCCGGAGGCGAGGAGCGCGUCCCAGGACUUUGUCCUCUUCUGCGAGGAGCAUGCUUCACGCUGACUUCAUCGGCUGCCAUAAAGAUAAGUCUGUAUGACGAGGGUUGGGCAGUUUGAACUAGCCUUGGUUCUCAGCGCUAAUCCUCUCUCUGACGUCCAGCAAAAGUCCUUCUGCCUCCUGCUCUUAGGUGGAGUCUUGUUUAAUGCGAAGGCUUCCAUGCCCCCUGGUGGUCAUAAAUGGAAAAGGAGAGCAACCUUGUCUGUCUUGUUCACUGAUGAGGAACCAGACCUGAACAGAGGACCAAAACGUACUGGACACUCAGUAAAUGUUUACUAAACUUAUUAAAUGAAUCUUCUUAAAAUAUGAUUCUCAUCUUUCCUAUUAAAACCUGCAGUGGCUCUCAUUACCCAGAAAGGGAGUAUUUUCGUGGAAUAGCAUUCAAGGUCUUGCCCAGCCUGGCCAUGCCUUGCAUAAUGUCACCCCAGACACAGCUCCACCAUCAGCCUCUGCAAACCACUACCUCUUCUCUGAACCUAGGUCAUUCUUCCAUGAAGUCCCACUUCCCUCUGCCCGUUAUGUCAUUCUUCCAUUUCAAGUCUGGCAAAUUUCUACUCCUCCUUCAAGACAGAAGCUUUCUCCAGUUUACCCAGGUGGUUUCCAUAUUUGUCUCUCUGUACACACCCUCCCAACUAGUUCAAGUCUGUUUAAAAAAAACACGCCCUAUGUUGUCUUGAACCUAGUUGCUCACAUAACCAUCUCUUUAGAUAGACCAUGAACUGCCUGAGAGUAAUCAUGGAUAUUUUUCAUCCUCCAUAGCUCCCAUGAAAUAGGUCUGCUUAUAAAUAUUCAGAGAAUCCCAAUACACACACUCUAGGGAUCCUUUCCCUCUGCCUAAGGAGGAAAGAAAAUCCUUCCUGGAUUAUGGCUCUUAAAACCAAAUAUAAUUGCAACUCCACACAAUUUAAAGGAUGAAUUUGGUAUCACUGAAUUGAAUCCUAGAUUUAAAAUAAUAAGCUUUAUUGAUAAAGAUGUUUUGUAUCAUAUUGUUCAGAUGUUUCCCUUACAUUAAAUGUCAUAUGCCAUAUAUCUAUGUCUAUGACUUUCAAAGUAAACUAUUUGUA
Long non-coding RNA from Sciurus carolinensis (gray squirrel), 1325 nucleotides. RefSeq lists it as uncharacterized. The transcript is spliced from 3 exons. The record is from RefSeq and is a predicted model, not a curated record. NCBI's taxonomy places the organism in Eukaryota, Metazoa, Chordata, Mammalia, Rodentia, Sciuridae.